UCUUUGUCUACCUAAAACUCACUAUAUCGCUGUUCCUCCCCGCGUUUUCGAUGAAAGUCCUCAAUUGAAGUGAACAAAAGCUUGAAAUCCCGAAUCCCAACACAGAGAAAGAAGUGGGCAAUAAAUGAAUUAUGACAUAUAAGGAGUACACAAGGAGGCAAGGCUGUAGCUGUUGGGUACAGCCGCCCAUUCUCAAUUACUGGUUAAAGGGUUAUAUUUUAAGAAAUUU
This 229-nucleotide unclassified non-coding RNA is filed under the name Hevea brasiliensis (rubber tree). Lineage: Eukaryota; Viridiplantae; Streptophyta; Magnoliopsida; Malpighiales; Euphorbiaceae. The record is from RNAcentral.